CGCCGGAACCGGGAGCCCCGUGAUUGAUGGCAGCGCUGGAACGGAGGGAGCGGAGCGGGGAGCAUCCCCCGGGCCGGGCAGCGCGGGGGGAAAUCACAUCGGGCAUGGCCAGGGAUGAAAGUUGUCCAAACAGUGCAGAGCACAGCAGCUGACAGUCUGAGCACAGCAACAGAACUGGAGACUAUUCUUGAAUCUCAGACACCGUCUUGCAAAUCCAACACAAACCAACUUCCCAAUUCAGCAGUGUGGGAGAUGGCAGAGAAAUCAUCUCCAGUCCCAUCUGUUUGUAUACAGCAUUCUGGAGAUCCUUGAGUGAGCAGAACAGCCACAGCACUCAAUCACCGACAUCAGAGACAACUCAACUUUCACUAAUUGGCUUUCCUAGGAGAUAUGGAGAUCUGCCCCCAUUUCAGAGACUGAAAUAAAAAACAUGCACAGA
Molecule: long non-coding RNA, 439 nt
Organism: Melospiza melodia melodia
Lineage: Eukaryota; Metazoa; Chordata; Aves; Passeriformes; Passerellidae
Exons: 2
Source: RefSeq, a predicted model, not a curated record